Molecule: long non-coding RNA, 290 nt
Filed under: Phocoena sinus (vaquita)
Lineage: Eukaryota; Metazoa; Chordata; Mammalia; Artiodactyla; Phocoenidae
Description: lncRNA (ENSPSNG00000000633.1)
Source: RNAcentral
GAAUGGAAACACUUGAGCUGAUUUAAGCAGUGUACUGUGAUGGUGACCUCUGUGAUUGCAUCUCUGGGUUAGGAGAACAGACACCAAUAAUCGUUGCAAUGGGCUGACUUAAGUGUUCCACCGAUGUCACGAAUCCUGUGGUUGCAUCUAUGUGUUAAGAGCUUGGAGAGCAAAAACAGAUGCUGGAGGUGACUUCAGCACCUGUUGUCAUCAAGAUUGUCUGCUGCUUCCUUGUGUGGAAAGAGACCAAGAUGCCCUCGAGCUGCUUUCAGCAUCUUCCACCCUCAUGA